This 1464-nucleotide ribosomal RNA is filed under the name Triticum aestivum (bread wheat). Its description in RNAcentral is "partial small subunit ribosomal RNA". Lineage: Eukaryota; Viridiplantae; Streptophyta; Magnoliopsida; Poales; Poaceae. The record is from RNAcentral.
AUGGAGUUUAUUAGGAAAACUCUUGAGAAAGAGGUUAAAAGACAGCAUGAGCUACUCCAGAUCAAUCUGAAGGGAGGUGAUGAGGUGAAGGGGUCACAAUCUGGAGAUAAAAGUAGCAAUGAAGAUGAAGAGGUAGAAGCCGUUGAUGAGGAUAUGGGAGUGGAGGACAAACAGGAAGAAGGGGGAGAAAUGACAGAGCAAGAAUUGAUUGACCAGGCCAUUGGGCUAGGGUAUGUUGAGCCAUUGGAUUACAUAGCCAGUCAAGACACAGACUCUUUCGAGACUAAGAUAAAAAAAGCUAGGAAAGGAGAGGCUGUACUGAAAGAUGAAGAAGAGGAACUGAGAAGAUGUGCUAGACUAAAGGGAAAAGAAGAUCGUAACAUCACAGAACUGGCCAAGGAAAGAGCAGCAAAGAAAGAUAACUAUGGUGAGUUACCUUGUGUUGGAAGCUUUCCUAAAUCUAAUACUCUCCCGCAAAAGGUUGAUGAGGGGGUAGGGGUCACACUAGGAAAAAAUGCUGAGGUGAUUACACAUAAUCUGGAAUUGAUAAAAAAUGUAGAGCAGGCUAGAAUUGACUUGUGGCUGUCUGACUUAAAUAAGAAACAGAAACAAGAUGUGUUGCUUGAGGAGAAUGAGAUCAUUGAUACUAGGGAGCAUACCCUAGAAGAUCUUCUUGAUCAGGGAGAUGAGGAGGGGAAUAGAAAAGAUGAUGAGGACUGGAAAAUAGUUAGAGGACUUUUCUCAGCAAAGAAGGAGAUAAAAAAAGAGAAAACCACCAGAGGUUCUGGGGUGAAAACUGUCUUUGUUGUUAAAUUGUUAGAACUUUCUGCUAAGAAAAAGAAACAAAAAAUGAGAGGCAUCUUUUGGAAUAUGAGAGGUUUUGGGGGAGACAUUAAAAGGAGGUUCCUUAGGGAAAUGGUAAUGUACAUGAAAGUAGACUUUCUGGACCUGCAAGAGACCAUGAGACAAGAAUUUUCUAGAAAUGAUCUACAGAAAAUCUGUGCUGAUAGAGACUUCCACUGGCAUUUCACUCCUGCUAGGGGGAAAUCUGGUGGACUCUUGUUAGGAGUGAAUUACACCACUCUUGAUGUGAUUUCACAAAGUGAAGGAGACUACCAUAUUAAAAUGACAGUGCAAGAUCUAAAAACUAGGUUCAUUUGGGACUUGGUGGUGAUUUAUGGUGAUGCUCAACCUGAAAGGAAAUCUAAAUUCCUGGCUAAGCUGUCUAGAAUCUUCCAAACCAGUAUAAACCCUAUCUUGAUAUGGGGUGAUUUUAACAUCAUUAGAAAAGCCAGUGAAAAAAAUAAACCAGGUUCCCCUGGGCACUGGAGUUUUCUGUUUAAUGCUAUUUUGGAACAAGAUGGAGUUAGAGAGCUCAAGAUGAAUGUUAGACAAUUUACAUGGGGUAACAAUUUGCCUAUACCCACCUUUGAAAAAUUCGAUAGAAUUCUAUGUAGUACAUAA